Molecule: unclassified non-coding RNA, 291 nt
Filed under: Hevea brasiliensis (rubber tree)
Lineage: Eukaryota; Viridiplantae; Streptophyta; Magnoliopsida; Malpighiales; Euphorbiaceae
Source: RNAcentral
AGCUUAAUUAACGAUCAUUGCUUGGAUGUUCCAAGAUGAGACUAAAUACUGGACUAGUUGGAAUGCCCUGAAAUAUUAUCUAAGGUUGCAUAUGGGAACUCGAAUGUCUGAUUGCUUAGUUAAACAGAGAGUCGUAUGGGUGUUGGAUAAAUUGCCUUUCCAUCCAUUUACCUUAUUUUCCUGCGUAGGCUGAAAAUGGCCAAUUUGAGUCUUGUCAUUUCAAACGGCACUCACAUCACAACUCACGAAAACGAUGCAUCUACACUGAAAACCCUAAUCAUCCAAUGUGAA